RNAcentral lists this long non-coding RNA (1006 nucleotides) under Citrus x clementina. RNAcentral's name for it is "Citrus clementina (C. clementina) long non-coding RNA (CCLE_LNC006369)". The record is from RNAcentral. Lineage: Eukaryota; Viridiplantae; Streptophyta; Magnoliopsida; Sapindales; Rutaceae.
GGAAAAAUUGCCAAAAAACGGGUGGGCUAUAGCCUUGGUGGGGGGCGUGGGCGAAGUUCGUCCGCCGGACUCGGAAUGGCCCCAGACUUUGCAGGCGGCCUCCGUGUGCCAAAAAUAGGCCACGGGCACAGCCGCGCCCAAAAAUCAGCCCCCGAAUGUCGGGGCGCCAAGACACCCCAGCGGAAAAAUGGCCAAAAAACGGGUGGGCUAUAGCCUUGGUGGGGGGCGUGGGCGAGGUUCGUCCGCCGGACUCGGAAUGGCCCCAGACUUUGCGGGCAGCCUCCGUGUGCCAAAAAUAGAUCACGGCCACAGCCGCACCCAAAAAUCAGCCCCCGAAGGUCGGGACGCCAAAACCCCCCAGCGGAAAAAUGGCCAAAAAACGGGUGGGCUAUAGCCUUGAUGGGGGGCGUGGGCGAAGUUCGUCCGCCGGACUCGGAAUGGCCCCAGACUUUGCGGGCGGCCUCCGUGUGCCAAAAACAGGCCACGGGCACAGCCGCGCCCAAAAAUCAGCCCCCGAAGGUCGGGGCGCCAAGACCCCCCAGCGGAAAAAUGGCCAAAAAACGGGUGGGCUAUAGCCUUGGUGGGGGGCGUGGGCGAACUUCGUCCGCCGGACUCGGAAUGGCCCCAGACUUUGCGGGCGACCUCCGCGUGCCAAAAAUAGGCCACGGGCAAAGCCGUGCCCAGAAAUGAGCCCCUGAAUGUCGGGGCGCCAAGACACCCCAGCGGAAAAAUUGCCAAAAAACGGGUGGGCUAUAGCCUUGGUGGGGGGUGUGGGCGAAGUUCGUCCGCCGGACUCGGAAUGGCCCCAGACUUUGCGGGCGGCCUCCGUGUCCCAAAAAUAGGCCACGGCCACAGCCGCGCCCAAAGUUCAGCCCCCGAAGGUCGGGGCGCCAAGAUCCCCCAGCGGAAAAAUGGCCAAAAAACGGGUGGCUAUAGCCUUGGUGGGGGGCGUGGGCGAACUUCGUCCGCCGGACUCGGAAUGGCCCCAGACUUUGCGGGCGGCCUC